RNAcentral lists this long non-coding RNA (221 nucleotides) under Callithrix jacchus (white-tufted-ear marmoset). RNAcentral's name for it is "lncRNA (ENSCJAG00000086660.1)". The record is from RNAcentral. Lineage: Eukaryota; Metazoa; Chordata; Mammalia; Primates; Cebidae.
ACCUUUAAUAUCCUUUCCUGGGACACACAGAACUUGUACUCUAUCUCUCAUAUAAGAGAGUGGUCCCUAGCCUUUUUGACAUCAUUCCUGAAUGUUGAUGCCUAUGAGGAAAGACAGAAACUUAAUUCAUGAUUUUCUCCAGUUUAAAUUCAUAGGUAAGAGAUAAACAUUUUUAUUAUUCCUUCUCAAUAAUAAAAAAAAUAUAUAACACUGAUUUUCUG